This 1801-nucleotide long non-coding RNA is filed under the name Limulus polyphemus (Atlantic horseshoe crab). RNAcentral describes it as "uncharacterized LOC111086178". Lineage: Eukaryota; Metazoa; Arthropoda; Merostomata; Xiphosura; Limulidae. The record is from RNAcentral.
UGUUCGGCUAUGGAUCAAUAACUAAAUGUGUUAUUACCCACAUUCACCACUAAGAACAAAACUUCACGGACUACCUGCAACUAAUCUUAUUAAUCAACUAACUUUAUUUAUUUUGAUCGUCUCUACUCUUCCUGUCUCCUUGAAACUCCUUGUCUUUGAGGUCUGACUGGUAAUUUACUUCCUCCAUUACGACAGUUACAAUAUUGUCUGUCUUACCGCCGUAAAGUAUCAUCAAACAUCGAGCUUGAGAUGAGUAUGCCUAACAGCACGAGCGAUGGCGAACGUGGGACAACGACAGUUGAAAGAGAUGGUGAAGUGAAACUCUCCAACGAACAGAAUCCCUCCAAAAUUUACGAAACCAAGAGAAACAAGAAGAUCAUACGACUCAUGACUGUGUUCGCCUACGUGUUCUCUGUUUCCUUAGCUGCAAUAGUCUUGUCUCUUUACUACGUAUUCCUUUGGGAUCCGGCGAUGGAAACUGAAACUCCAGAUACUCCACAAGCCCUUGUCGCUAACAAAGAGAUUGAGUUUCCCGUCCAAUAUGCUCAGGUGUCUCCAUAUCCUACCGAACUAUCGAAGCAAUCGGUUUCCAAUGACGAACUUGCCUACUUUGAAACCAAGUCUAGGUUCGCUGAAAUAAACUGGGACCCUAAGGGCAACUACACCACGCAGAAAACAGAAAAACGACUUUCCCGUAAAAUGACGGACGACCGAAAUUCUGUUCUGCCCGAGAACCCGGGAAGACUUUAGACAGUAAUAGUCUAGACAGAAUUAAAAAGAUUCUGGAUUUUCCGACAGACAUUUUCCCGACAAGGUGUUAAAUAACCAACUUUUCAACAGACAUCGGUCCCAAGAAGACACAUUGCAGAAUUGCCAAACUUAUAAACAUGUCAAAACUUGUAAAUACGCAAAUUAUCGGUAAACAUUAACAAAAAUGGUGACUUAGUUUUCUAAUAUAUUAAUUCUAAACGAUUUUAAGUUUCAUAUCAUAUAACAGAGAUGUUAUAAAGAUAAAAAUAUUUGGUUUUACUGCAGUUCUCAACUACAGAAAUAUGACAGAUCUUAAGAAAAGUGGCCGAAUGAGGCUUAUUCACAGUACCUGAAACUUCUGCAUCUUAUAGAUAUAUACUUAAGUUAGGCCUACUGUGUCAAGGUGUUGUGUUUAUAAAUUGUUAAAUAAUACACAACUUAAGCGCCAUAGUAGUAUGUCUGAGAAAACACAAGUUUAUGUUCAUCAUUUGAAACAGUCGUUCGUAACUGAUUUUUAGUUCUAGGUUGAUCAUAAUCCUAAGUUUCCCUCUACCUUUCUUCCAACUUUUGUCUUAUAAACGAACUUAGGGUUAUUGCUUCAAGAUUCAAUUACUUUGAUUAAUAUCCAUCCUUAAGUUACUAACACAGGUGUAAGAUCAAACGUUUUCAUAAAUGAUCGACAAAUAGAGGUUAUGAUAUAGAUAUGCAUUUUAUCAUAUAUUUAUGUUUAAUUUAGUUUUUCUGUAAUUUGUUAGUGUUUCGUUUUAGUGCAGAGCUACUAAAUAUGCUAUCUGCGCGCUGUCCAAUGCGGGGAAUCGAACCCUAGAAUAAUUUGUUGGACUGAAUAAUUCCAUUAAAUUAAUUGAUGGUGUCACUACUAGGGACUAAUAACAAUGUGGAAAACAUCGAACUGAAAAAUUUAAUGGUGUGUUUCAGCUAUAAACACCUCUUUUGGAUUCAACUAUCUUAAUGAUUACAUUCAAUGUUAGAUUUACAGAACAUUCCAAUAACGAAACCUUCCUAAAACUUUAAGGGUUGUUCUAAAAAAAAA